This 969-nucleotide ribosomal RNA is filed under the name Triticum aestivum (bread wheat). RNAcentral's name for it is "partial small subunit ribosomal RNA". Lineage: Eukaryota; Viridiplantae; Streptophyta; Magnoliopsida; Poales; Poaceae. The record is from RNAcentral.
GUGCAGUGUGAAAACGGCGGCGAAUUUCUCUCUCACUCCCUCCGCGACCACUUCUCGCAUCUAGGUGUCUCGUUUCGCCUCUCGUGCCCUCACACAUCCCCCCAAAAUGGUAAGGCCGAGCGCCUCUUACGCACCAGUAACGACGUUCUUCGCACCCUGCUAGUACAUGCUCACAUGCCACCCGAAUACUGGGUAGAGGCCCUACACACCGCCAACCAUCUCAUCAACUGACGACCCUCCUCCGCGGUUAACCAGCUCACACCAUUUUACUUGCUCCACGGCCACCAUCCUACCUAUGAGCAUGUACGCGUCUUCGGGUGCCUCUGCUUUCCCAACCUUAGCCACCUCGCUCCACAUAAACUAGCGCCACGCUCCACCCCUUGCGUUCUUCUUGGCUACCCUCUCAAGCACAAGGGGUAUAGGUGCCUCGACCUUCGCACACGACGCGUUCAUAUUUCUCGUCAUGUCAUUAUUGACGAGCAAAAAUUUCCCUUCGCCACACAGGAGGCCCCUGGCACACCCGCCGCACCAGAUCCCGCCCCGGAUCCCGCGCCCCACCUGGCCCCGAUCCCACCUACCUCGUACUGGCAGGCACAUCCGGCGCCAAUCCCCGCUCCAAUCCCGCCCGCCCCCGCUUCGCACCCAUCCACUCCCCGGCCUCCGCGCCCACUCCCCAUCGCGGCCCGUGCGUCCCGCGGUCCUGCAGUGGCCCCACCACCUGAUCCAUGCAGCCCGCGGCCCCCACCGAAUCCCACUUCCGUCGCUAUCACCCCCACCACCCGCCCAGAUCCACUCUGUAUCGCGCGCCUGCCGCUGAUUCGCGGCCGCCUUCACCAGAUUCUACGCCCGCAUCCACCUCCGCUUCCGCGCCAGCCACUUGCGCGUCGCCAGCUCAGCCCCAACUCUGUUGGGGAACGUAGUAAUUUCAAAAAAAUUCUUGCGCACACGCAAGAUCAUGGUGAUGCAUAG